UCCUACGGGAGGCAGCAGUAGGGAAUCUUCCGCAAUGGACGAAAGUCUGACGGAGCAACGCCGCGUGAGUGAUGAAGGCUUUCGGGUCGUAAAACUCUGUUGUUAGGGAAGAACAAGUGCUAGUUGAAUAAGCUGGCACCUUGACGGUACCUAACCAGAAAGCCACGGCUAACUACGUGCCAGCAGCCGCGGUAAUACGUAGGUGGCAAGCGUUAUCCGGAAUUAUUGGGCGUAAAGCGCGCGCAGGUGGUUUCUUAAGUCUGAUGUGAAAGCCCACGGCUCAACCGUGGAGGGUCAUUGGAAACUGGGAGACUUGAGUGCAGAAGGGGAAAGUGGAAUUCCAUGUGUAGCGGUGAAAUGCGUAGAGAUAUGGAGGAACAACAGUGGCGAAGGCGACUUUCUGGUCUGUAACUGACACUGAGGCGCGAAAGCGUGGGGAGCAAACAGGAUUAGAUACCCUGGUAGUCCACGCCGUAAACGAUGAGUGCUAAGUGUUAGAGGGUUUCCGCCCUUUAGUGCUGAAGUUAACGCAUUAAGCACUCCGCCUGGGGAGUACGGCCGCAAGGCUGAAACUCAAAGGAAUU
This 584-nucleotide ribosomal RNA is filed under the name uncultured bacterium. RNAcentral's name for it is "bacterial SSU rRNA". It matches the Rfam family "Bacterial small subunit ribosomal RNA", at positions 337 to 911 of the family's 1533-position model. The record is from RNAcentral.